AGGAUGAACGCUGGCGGCGUGCUUAACACAUGCAAGUCGAACGAUGAACCUCACUUGUGGGGGGAUUAGUGGCGAACGGGUGAGUAACACGUGAGUAACCUGCCCUUAACUCUGGGAUAAGCCUUGGAAAACGGGGUCUAAUACCGGAUAUUUACGAUUGAUCGCAUGGUUGGUUGUGGAAAGAUUUAUUGGUUUUGGAUGGACUCGCGGCCUAUCAGCUUGUUGGUGAGGUAAUGGCUUACCAAGGCGACGACGGGUAGCCGGCCUGAGAGGGUGACCGGCCACACUGGGACUGAGACACGGCCCAGACUCCUACGGGAGGCAGCAGUGGGGAAUAUUGCACAAUGGGCGCAAGCCUGAUGCAGCGACGCCGCGUGAGGGAUGAAGGCCUUCGGGUUGUAAACCUCUUUCAGUAGGGAACAAGGCCGGCUUUUGGUUGGUUGAGGGUACCUGCAGAAGAAGCGCCGGCUAACUACGUGCCAGCAGCCGCGGU
Molecule: ribosomal RNA, 493 nt
Filed under: uncultured bacterium
Lineage: Bacteria
Description: SSU rRNA
Rfam family: Bacterial small subunit ribosomal RNA
Source: RNAcentral